AUUGCUUCUCGGCCUUUUGGCUAAGAUCAAGUGUAGUAUCUGUUCUGAUCAGUUUAAUAUCUGGUUUAAUAUUCUUUGGCCAUACAAAAAUAAGUAGCACUUGUUCAAAUUUGAAGUUUAAUACUGAAUUUAUAAAUAAACUGCAAUUUUCGGGCUUUUCAGCAAGCUCACCUGUUUUGAGGCAGCACUA
Small nuclear RNA from Paramormyrops kingsleyae, 190 nucleotides. Its record names the gene U2. It matches the Rfam family "U2 spliceosomal RNA". Rfam says of the family: U2 is a small nuclear RNA (snRNA) component of the spliceosome (involved in pre-mRNA splicing). The record is from Ensembl. Lineage: Eukaryota; Metazoa; Chordata; Actinopteri; Osteoglossiformes; Mormyridae.